Molecule: ribosomal RNA, 510 nt
Filed under: uncultured bacterium
Lineage: Bacteria
Description: partial 16S ribosomal RNA
Rfam family: Bacterial small subunit ribosomal RNA
Source: RNAcentral
GACGAACGCUGGCGGCGUGCUUAACACAUGCAAGUCGAACGAAGAGCGACGGAAGCUUGCUUCUAUCAAUCUUAGUGGCGAACGGGUGAGUAACGCGUAAUCAACCUGCCCUUCAGAGGGGGACAACAGUUGGAAACGACUGCUAAUACCGCAUACGCUCUAACCUCGGCAUUGAGGAUAGAUGAAAGGUGGCCUCUACAUGUAAGCUAUCACUGAAGGAGGGGAUUGCGUCUGAUUAGCUAGUUGGAGGGGUAACGGCCCACCAAGGCGAUGAUCAGUAGCCGGUCUGAGAGGAUGAACGGCCACAUUGGGACUGAGACACGGCCCAGACUCCUACGGGAGGCAGCAGUGGGGAAUCUUCCGCAAUGGACGAAAGUCUGACGGAGCAACGCCGCGUGAGUGAUGACGGCCUUCGGGUUGUAAAGCUCUGUUAAUCGGGACGAAAGGCCUUCUUGCGAAUAGUGAGAAGGAUUGACGGUACCGGAAUAGAAAGCCACGGCUAACUACGUG